UAAUAGGCAAGCUGUUAAGAAAGUCUUCAAAAUAAGAGUGUCAGACCGUCCAGAAGACGGAAAAGCUGAUUCAAGGUCUAAUUAAGGAGAGGUAAAGAAAGUGUAGCAAAGUAACAAAAAUCAACCAUGGAAGUCCGAAGGCCUACAGGUUUCUCUUUAUGAUUCUUUAAUGAUCUAGCAGAUGGGACAUCAGGAUGACUGUAUUGGGAAAAGGCCACCUAAGCCUGUAGAUGGCCUGAAUCUGUCUUUACUACUAAUGGAAGUGUCAUUCCAGGAGACUGUUUGUGCAGAGAAGCAGUGUAAUACUGCCUCGGAUAAUUGCCAUUCUACCAUUUUUCUAUUCACAUUCCAGGACUGGUCACCAGGGCACAAGCUGUUCUUGGCUGCGUGGCCCAUACCAUUGCAUACUGACACACGCCAGUUCAGAUUCACACAAGGAAAUCUUUGUGGUUAAAACCUGAACGCCUGUGGAUUAACCUACCACUGCAUUUAAAUCACUGAAAAUCAAAACCCUAUUCCUCAUGCCUGUGGGAAGAGAAUAACAUACAUCUUGAUUUGGUUGCCUUUGUAAUAAGUAUAAUUCCUUGCAGGCUUACAAAGAAGAACAGUCACCUAAUAAUCUUGCAGAUUAAAAACAGAAGCCUAUGCUAAUGAGCUAGGAGAGCCAAAUUCUACUUCCAUUUUUAACUGUGCCUCAUUUAAUGACUUCAGAAUGCAGCUCAAGGUCUGAUUCAUCUCACCUAAUUUAACCAUCUCACAGUUUGGCAUCUAUUGUACAAUAGCUAACUAGACUUGAAAGUAAAUAAAAAGAGAAAAUGAAAAGAAUCUUCUCAGAUAGUAUCUAAAAUAGGUGUGGUAAAUGCUCUCUAGAUGUGCAUCUCUCUUUCUGCUACUAGGCGGGAUUAGAUGGCUCAAAUGGAUCAGAUGCCUUUUAUUUUAUGGUUACUAGCUCACUCUCAGUCUAGGGUUUCUCAGCAGUCAGUAGAACAAGAUGCCCAUCUUCAGUGUAUGAUUCAUCACACUUUUCUUCAAAACUUAUUUUGGAAUGGGAUAAAUCCCUUCUGAAGUUGCCUCUGCAUCUCCGCUGGCUAAAAGCAACAUGGAAUAGACUUCCAUCAAAAGUCGCUCAAGAUAGCUAAGAUAAAUGCCAGCUGCAGAUAACACGUCUAUUGCAAUUGGUGAAAGUAAACAUUUUAAAAUUGCUUUUUAGCCAAGUUUAAGUGUUCAGUUUGAUCAUUAUUAAUUAGCGCUGUUAAGAUAUAAUUGGAGAGGUAUUACCAGUUUAGAAGCCCAAUGUAACUUUUAAAAUUUUAAAUAGGGAUUAUUCUAUCUAUUUAAGUAUGACCAACAACAGCAACUCAUUAAAACAUCUGCUAGAAUGUGAUUAUUAGUCUAAAUUGAACUUCUGGAUAGAACAUUCAGAAUUUAUACUGUAAUUAAUUCUCAGGUUUAAGUUUCCACCAGUUCUAUCAGAACAGUCAAACUCCUUCUGUCGUAUUUUCUUAUGUGUCAUGACAAUUCUCUGUGACAGCAGUAAAUUUGACAGAACCCACAGUGCAUUCCACCAACACAACUGUUUUAAUUUACCUUAUAAUUCAGUGACUUACUAGGACACAUUCUGUGUUUCUAAACAACUGAUCUCCUUCAAAGACACUCACUUUUUAAUCUUGGCAUGAAUAUUGAAGUUUACACAGAUAAGCAAGCUGAAUACACAGUGUGAGAGAACUGCAAAGCUCAUUUUGCUAAGAAUAGGGGUUACAGAGGUGCACACUGCUGCUACACUACAUACUUGUCUUCACAGAGAAGGGACGAUUUGUUCAUGAACAUAAUAAAAUGGAGCCAUUAGAACAAAUGCAAAUUUUAUAGAGGAAAAUUUCACAUAGACACUUUUCUUUCCAACUACUUUGUUCAUUUGAUCAUUCUCAUUUGGCUUUUUGUUUGUAAGUUUUAAAGAAGUUUUUAUUGUUGUAUAAUGACAGCUAUGUGAAGAAUGGUCACACAUACCUAGGCAAUGAAAAACUGAAAGGAAAGAUGCAGAUCAUUUACCAAAUACCUAGACUGUGAGUCAAUAUAUUUUUGGAUGCCUCAAGUUUUACCAGUGUGUGAUGGAAAUUACUAAAAUUGAGGACAGCAAGGCUACUGCUGCUAAAUUAUGACUUAGAAUUAAACCAAAUGAUUCAAACCUUAAAUCAGUAAAAUGGCAAAGAAGGACAUAGUCAUGUAUAAAGCAUAAAGCAAUC
Oxyura jamaicensis (ruddy duck) is the source of this 2240-nucleotide long non-coding RNA. RefSeq lists it as uncharacterized. Lineage: Eukaryota; Metazoa; Chordata; Aves; Anseriformes; Anatidae. The record is from RefSeq and is a predicted model, not a curated record. The transcript has 2 exons.